This 85-nucleotide transfer RNA is filed under the name Clostridium tarantellae. RNAcentral's name for it is "tRNA-Leu". It matches the Rfam family "tRNA". Rfam says of the family: Transfer RNA (tRNA) molecules are approximately 80 nucleotides in length. Their secondary structure includes four short double-helical elements and three loops (D, anti-codon, and T loops). Lineage: Bacteria; Bacillati; Bacillota; Clostridia; Eubacteriales; Clostridiaceae. The record is from RNAcentral.
GCAGGUGUGGUGGAAUGGCAGACACGCUAUCUUGAGGGGGUAGUGGAUUUUAUUCGUAUGGGUUCAAGUCCCAUUACCUGCACCA